AUAUGAGAAACUUUCCAAAGUGAAUUGAUACUUGUUUUUAAAACUAUUUUUGGUGCCUUUAAUUUGCUUAAAUUCCACCAACUUUUAAGUUACCUAUUUUACAUGAAAUUUAGGAAAGAGAAAAGAAGAAAAUAAACUCUUUAACAAGAAGUAAUUGCCUUAAUUUCUAGUUAUCUACUUUAUUUUAGUGUUUUGUAUUUAAUUUAGUUUGUAAAGUUCUGUAAUUCUGGAUCUGGUUGAAUGAAAAACUCCAUUUGCGAUAAUGCUUGUUAAUGUUGUUCAUCUGAUGUGUUUGGAAACUGCAGUCAUGCGUUAAUGUGGUUUUGG
RNAcentral lists this unclassified non-coding RNA (327 nucleotides) under Hevea brasiliensis (rubber tree). Lineage: Eukaryota; Viridiplantae; Streptophyta; Magnoliopsida; Malpighiales; Euphorbiaceae. The record is from RNAcentral.